RNAcentral lists this long non-coding RNA (675 nucleotides) under Monodelphis domestica (gray short-tailed opossum). RNAcentral's name for it is "lncRNA (ENSMODG00000043082.1)". Lineage: Eukaryota; Metazoa; Chordata; Mammalia; Didelphimorphia; Didelphidae. The record is from RNAcentral.
AACCCAGCUGACUUGGGUAUAUUUAAUAUUUGGGAAUUUUUCCCUGGCAACCACCUUAUAUUUGAUUUAAAACACGACACUGUCUUGAAACCAUAUUUUCUGUGGUCACAAUUUAAGCCAACCACUCUUUUAUCUGUAACAGUUUAUGACUCCCACUAUUUUAAUCAUUACAGUACCCUGUUUUUAGUUUAUUCCUUUGUUGUCUUCAGACUAGCUCCUUCCAGCCUUCACAAAAACAAGUGCCAUCCAUUGUCACAAGGACAACUCAAAGGAAAAUGUGAAGAGAUCUGUGCACAACAGUCCCCUGUCUUAGAAAAAAACCAUCAGCAUACAAGUCCUACUGAUACUAUGAAAAGUAACCACCACCUUUUCCCCAGGUCUGCCAGAGUCAUUUUCAAGGUUUCCAGAGGACAAGUGGUUGGAGAGCCGCGUGGCCAGGUGCCUCCCAUCUCCACCAUGAAGCUGUUUACUUCGGUGAUGAUCUACGUUCCCAUCAGCCUCGUCCUCCUGUCCGCUUUCUGGCACACAACUUGCUUAGCAGAAACACACAAUUCCUCAUCGGUGUUUCACGCUCCCGUCUCAGACUCGGCGAACAAGGCACAGUGCUCUAGUAAGCUUUCUGCAAGCGCUGAAACUCCACAAACUGCAGAUUUAAGAGUUUUCUUUUGGUUUUAG